This is a long non-coding RNA of Octopus bimaculoides (California two-spot octopus), 301 nucleotides long. NCBI's taxonomy places the organism in Eukaryota, Metazoa, Mollusca, Cephalopoda, Octopoda, Octopodidae. The record is from RefSeq and is a predicted model, not a curated record.
ACAAGGAGACUUGAAGCAUUAUGAAGAAAUACCAGGAGUAUCAGAUCAAAAUAUAUAUAAAAACAAUGAUACAUCUAAAUCAAAAGAUUCCAGUGAAGAAACACCAGUGAAGCAUGUCUAAUUAAUCAGCUGUUGAAGUAACAAUGACCUUUUUCUAUGUGAAUAGAAGAACAGUCAUAUUAGUACACACACACAGACUUAACACACUCCUUAUUUAUUAUCUGUGCUAUAUAGUAGUGUAAAGACAGGGUGUUGAUAAAUUAGCCAUGAUUCUGAUAAAUAAACAUGAAGUUCUGCAAAC